AACACAAUAGUAAUACAAAUAAAACUAUUUCCGGUACUUAAAAACCUCUAUUUACACAUGCAAAAAGGAGUAGGCAGAUGUAAAACUUAUAUACUCCUACC
Molecule: long non-coding RNA, 101 nt
Organism: Etheostoma spectabile (orangethroat darter)
Lineage: Eukaryota; Metazoa; Chordata; Actinopteri; Perciformes; Percidae
Exons: 3
Source: RefSeq, a predicted model, not a curated record